Molecule: ribosomal RNA, 253 nt
Filed under: uncultured bacterium
Lineage: Bacteria
Description: partial 16S ribosomal RNA
Rfam family: Bacterial small subunit ribosomal RNA
Source: RNAcentral
UACGGAGGGGGCUAGCGUUGUUCGGAAUUACUGGGCGUAAAGCGUACGUAGGCGGCUUUGUAAGUUAGAGGUGAAAGCCCGGAGCUCAACUCCGGAAUUGCCUUUAAGACUGCAUCGCUUGAAUCAUGGAGAGGUUAGUGGAAUUCCGAGUGUAGAGGUGAAAUUCGUAGAUAUUCGGAAGAACACCAGCGGCGAAGGCGACUAACUGGACAUGUAUUGACGCUGAGGUACGAAAGCGUGGGGAGCAAACAGG